GGGGGUAUAGCUCAGGGGUAGAGUGCUUGCUUAGCAUGCAUGAGGUCCUGGGUUCAAUCCCCAAUACCUCCA
This 72-nucleotide transfer RNA is filed under the name Vicugna pacos (alpaca). Its description in RNAcentral is "tRNA-Ala (AGC) (tRNA-Ala-AGC-670-1)". It matches the Rfam family "tRNA". Rfam says of the family: Transfer RNA (tRNA) molecules are approximately 80 nucleotides in length. Their secondary structure includes four short double-helical elements and three loops (D, anti-codon, and T loops). Further hydrogen bonds mediate the characteristic L-shaped molecular structure. tRNAs have two regions of fundamental functional importance: the anti-codon, which is responsible for specific mRNA codon recognition, and the 3' end, to which the tRNAs corresponding amino acid is attached (by aminoacyl-tRNA synthetases). tRNAs cope with the degeneracy of the genetic code in two manners: having more than one tRNA (with a specific anti-codon) for a particular amino acid; and 'wobble' base-pairing, i.e. permitting non-standard base-pairing at the 3rd anti-codon position. The record is from Rfam by way of RNAcentral. Lineage: Eukaryota; Metazoa; Chordata; Mammalia; Artiodactyla; Camelidae.